This 467-nucleotide ribosomal RNA is filed under the name uncultured bacterium. RNAcentral describes it as "partial 16S ribosomal RNA". It matches the Rfam family "Bacterial small subunit ribosomal RNA", at positions 339 to 795 of the family's 1533-position model. The record is from RNAcentral.
CUACGGGUCGCUGCAGUGGGGAAUAUUGGACAAUGGGGGAAACCCUGAUCCAGCAAUGCCGCGUGUGUGAAGAAGGCCUGCGGGUUGUAAAGCACUUUCGGUUGGGAGGACUGCUUCUAGCACUAAUAUUGUUGGAAGUUGACGUUACCUUCAGAAGAAGCACCGGCUAACUCCGUGCCAGCAGCCGGGCGGUAAUACGGAGGGUGCAAGCGUGAAUCGGAAUUACUGGGCGUAAAGCGCGCGUAGGCGGCUAGAUCAGUCGGGUGUGAAAGCCCCAGGCUUAACCUGGGAACUGCAUCCGAUACUGUCUAGCUUGAGUACAGGAGAGGAGAGUGGAAUUCCACAUGUAGCGGUGAAAUGCGUAGAUAUGUGGAGGAACACCAAUGGCGAAGGCAGCUCUCUGGCCUGAUACUGACGCUGAGGUGCGAAAGCGUGGGGAGCAAACAGGAUUAGAUACCCCUGUAGUC